Long non-coding RNA from Aricia agestis (brown argus), 544 nucleotides. RefSeq lists it as uncharacterized. The transcript has 3 exons. NCBI's taxonomy places the organism in Eukaryota, Metazoa, Arthropoda, Insecta, Lepidoptera, Lycaenidae. The record is from RefSeq and is a predicted model, not a curated record.
CUAAAAAUACAGUCCUACUUAAAAUCACGCGAUCUUUCUAACGAACGUGGUUGCAUAACGAUAUGACGUCAAACUGGCGGGGGUGCGGGGUAGUAUCUUCGUCUCUUUCGCGCUUUUGCACGUGUUGGUUUGAACAACACUGUCGUAUUCAGUCUUACUCGCGGAGUUGUGAUGAAAGGACGUCGUUCGUUUGUGAUAUACAGUUUUAACCUUGAAAAACGCAGUGUUCAUUAAAAGAAUGAUUUCGCAAAGAGUUACCUUAAUCAGAAACGCUGUUAAAGAUAAUCCAAGAGAGGGAGAAUCCGCAUUAGUUUCUUAUGAUGAGACCGUGAAUAUUAUGUCUACUCAAGCGACUAAUCAAGAAUGGUGCCCGAUGAUAGUCCUGAAGAACCAAUAGCUUCAUCUUCUACUUUCAAUGACACAUCUAACAACACAACAGGUAAAAUUGUAGGCAAUGUCUCCAAAAAGUUUUAAUUAUGUAGGUUAAUUGUGUAGGCUUAUGAAAUUCAUAAUUUAUGUUUUUUGUUAAUUACUGAUUAUUCUU